UACAGAGGGGGCAAGCGUUGUUCGGAAUUACUGGGCGUAAAGGGCGCGUAGGCGGUCUUCUAAGUUCCGUGUGAAAUCCCUCGGCUCAACUGGGGAACUGCACGGAAAACUGGAAGGCUUGAGUUCGGGAGAGGGAAGCGGAAUUUCGGGUGUAGCGGUGAAAUGCGCAGAUAUCCGAAGGAACACCGGUGGCGAAGGCGGCUUCCUGGACCGACACUGACGCUGAGGCGCGAAAGCUAGGGGAGCAAACGGG
Molecule: ribosomal RNA, 253 nt
Filed under: uncultured bacterium
Lineage: Bacteria
Description: partial 16S ribosomal RNA
Rfam family: Bacterial small subunit ribosomal RNA
Source: RNAcentral